UCACGUCUUAUUGACGUCUCUUGCAAACCAAAAUGUCACAAGUACAAAUCUCAAAACAAUAUGACGUGAUAGUAAUCUAAUCUGACGUUGGGGUGCUGGACCAGGACUGAUUUCGAGUCAUCUAAAUCUUUGUACUAAGUUAAAUUAUAGAGAAUUAAUUGGUUCAAUCCUCUAACUUAGAAGCUCGAAUCAUCGUGUUUUCCUUCAAGAAGUAUGAGGCAAAAGUGACUGAAGAUUUUUAAGAGGCCCCUUGUAUACGGUUUAUCAAAUAGGAAACCGGAAACGUCAUAAAUACAAUUUCCCCAAUAGUUUUUAGUUAUUGAUUAUUCAAUAAAUGAAUUUGAACUGCAA
Molecule: long non-coding RNA, 351 nt
Organism: Dendroctonus ponderosae (mountain pine beetle)
Lineage: Eukaryota; Metazoa; Arthropoda; Insecta; Coleoptera; Curculionidae
Exons: 2
Source: RefSeq, a predicted model, not a curated record